Molecule: long non-coding RNA, 457 nt
Filed under: Triticum aestivum (bread wheat)
Lineage: Eukaryota; Viridiplantae; Streptophyta; Magnoliopsida; Poales; Poaceae
Description: long non-coding RNA (TAES_LNC009316)
Source: RNAcentral
CAGUUUUGACUACGAUAGUGGUUCUGCAACUAAUUAGUGGCAUUGGAGGAUAAAUAAAAUCAAUCAAUCAGGGGUAGGUAAAUCAAUCCAUCCACUGAAAGGAAUGAAUUUGCAUCACAGACUGACCUGACGAGAAGUAAAGCACAAACAAAGUAAUGUUUGUGUAGAGAGAGCAGAGGAGAGGAACCAUUCACACCAAGCUUGUGCGCCAUCUCGGGUCUGAGGUGCGGCUAGGGUUGGGCGCUGGUGUUGUUGCUGUCUCUGCGUGCGUGAGCAAGGGAAAGGAGGCAUCAGGGAAAGAAAUAAGAAGGAAAAAAUGUAGGAGGGGGAGGAGGACGGGUACCUUGUGCUUGAGGAGUAGCAACGUCGGAGCAGGUCUGCACGGCGUGCACGAUAGAGCAGAUGCUUGACAACGGCGGCAGAACCGAACCAGCGGCGGCGGUGGUGGAUGUUGGGC